UUCCAUUUAAGUGAGGCCACUUGACCAGUUCUCCCCAGUGGGAUGUGAAUGGCAGCGAUGCAUCCUUUGUGAGCUGAGGCUUUUAAGAAGCUGGUGAGGCUUCCUAUGCUUUCUUUCUGCUUCUGCUGGCUAGAAACAAAGGACACUGAGGCCCUCGGGGGAUGGUAGAGCCACAGGAAGCACCCCGGGUCCUUAAAUCAACAUGCGGAGGAAAGCCAACGGCCAGCCAUGGAUACUUGCAUUGGACUUUUAAGUGAAUGAGAGAAAGAAGUAGAACUGUCACUCUACCUGCACAGGGCAGACAAAGCCACCUCUCUCACCAGCUGCCCCUGACCUUUGUGGACAACUGCACAUGGAAUGAAUAGAAUCCUGAAAACUUCUCAGGAGUUUAAUAGCUUCAAUGAAUAAAGAAUUUUGGUUCCAGGAAAAGGAAAAUAAACUGAAUUGAUUUGAGGAAAAAUC
RNAcentral lists this long non-coding RNA (462 nucleotides) under Homo sapiens (human). RNAcentral's name for it is "HSALNT0267403". Lineage: Eukaryota; Metazoa; Chordata; Mammalia; Primates; Hominidae. The record is from RNAcentral.